Molecule: long non-coding RNA, 594 nt
Filed under: Capsicum annuum
Lineage: Eukaryota; Viridiplantae; Streptophyta; Magnoliopsida; Solanales; Solanaceae
Description: long non-coding RNA (CANN_LNC021223)
Source: RNAcentral
AUAGUCAACCGGAUUUAAUCCAUAAACCGAAAGAGUAAAUACAAUAGCACAAAUAGUCUAUCUUCUUUUACUAUCCUAUAGCUAUUUUACUCUCUUCUAACCCCGAUUCCCUUGAAGAUGUUAUUUCCGUUCACAAACACUUUCAUACUAAGUAGAAAUGACUUAUUGUGAUCGUUAACAAACAAGAUCCCUAUUUAAUUUGUUUUGAACGUUGAAUUAUCUUCUUGGAGCUUUAGGGUACUCUUCUCCUUUGCCAUGAGAGUCUCUUUCUUGUCUUUGUAGUUAUUGUUUUGUGGUGGUUUUGUUUUUAUGGGUGGUCUUGGCGGUGGCCUCCUUGUUGUGUUUAUGUAUCUCCUGCAAAAAAAAAAAGAAGGCAACAAAUCAAGAAGAAACACCAACUAGAAAUAUCACACAUAAUUAUUGUAAACGAGUGACUGUCCAAAUUUACUCCUCUACUACGUUGAUAUUAUUCAUAUAUCCUUCUUGUUAACAAUGUAUUGUCUCUGUUAAAAUUUCAUAUGGAGCUCCUGCAUGAAUUCUACAUGUUAAAUUACGGGUGAUUAUUGAAAUAGAUUGAAAAUUAAUGGGUAUUGG